AUGAGCAGCAAUCGAUGGGUCCUUUCGUCGGCUGCCCCUGGAGCGACCGGUCGUGUCCACUGCUGCUGCUUCUGCUGCCUUGAUAGCUGAACGAAGUUAGGAGAGGGAACGCCUUCUCGAUGUCCUUGAUGUCGGCGGGUAUGGAGGCAUCAGUUUGCACCGAACCAGUGAAGGCUCGCCCGGAAGGCGCGGUGAAGAAUAUCAACCCACAGACUGGAAAGCUACUCAAAGAUCCCUGGUCCAGCCUCUGCUACCGUCGCCACGUUUUCACCGCUCAGAAAAAUGACUGACGAAGGCUUAUUAUUUCUGUUAUUUUUUCACCAAAGACCCUACGAAACUGCUUUCCCUAUGACCCAGGCAAUGAUAUAACGGACUAUCCUAAUCGAUUGGCUUUUGUUUUUGACCGACUUAUAUCGGUUGUGUCGUUUUUAUUUCAAACGCAAGUUGUCGGUGGCUGGGUGUCGUCCAUAUGACAGUAAAGGAUCCAUUCAUUUAGAUUUAUUUAACUUCUGUGUUGAAAUAUCUACCUACAGGUCCACCACCUCCUUUGUAAGAGGUACCUAUCAAUUUCACUAGAUAGAAUACUUUCGAAAGUGGGUUCAUAUUAGUUAAAUAUCGAAACGAAUGGACUGUUCAUGGGCCAAACAGUUGCUGUGAUAACGUGCACCUUUCUAAUGUCUAUGUUCCUGUCCAGUUUGUAUAAUUUUAAUUAUUUCAUGAUUAGGAAAUCAGUUUGAUCUUAUAUGCGUUUUAUAUUCAUUUGGUUAAGUUUGUAUGAAGAAUGGGUUGUGUUAUAUUACUUUAAAAAUCUACUUUUAAUUUAGUAU
Long non-coding RNA from Helicoverpa armigera (cotton bollworm), 827 nucleotides. RefSeq lists it as uncharacterized. Lineage: Eukaryota; Metazoa; Arthropoda; Insecta; Lepidoptera; Noctuidae. The transcript is spliced from 2 exons. The record is from RefSeq and is a predicted model, not a curated record.